This 375-nucleotide long non-coding RNA is filed under the name Ananas comosus (pineapple). RNAcentral describes it as "long non-coding RNA (ACOM_LNC031744)". Lineage: Eukaryota; Viridiplantae; Streptophyta; Magnoliopsida; Poales; Bromeliaceae. The record is from RNAcentral.
AAUUAAUUAUUUUGAGAGUUGAUUUAAUUUAAUUUUUAUUCAUUUUAUUUGAUCAUUUUAUCGUCGGGGGUUGAAAGAAGCUUCAUCAACCUCCUUCACGAUCGUGCUCGCAGGAAGAGGAAUUCCGGUCGUACCUUGGGGUGUUGUUCCCGAUUAAUCCCACACAUAAAGACGGAAAUACGCCUUAGGGCAGUGCCUCGCAUGCUUCCGGAUCAAUUAAAUAUUUAUUUAGAUUUAGUGAUCAUCUGUAAGUUGAUUUAUUUAUUUUCAUAAUAAAAUUUAGUUAGAUUUAAAUCACAAUUAGAUUUCUGUGCGACAUUUGUUCCAACAAUCUCUUCAUUGAUUUUAAAAUUAGUUAAUAUCUUCAUUGAUUUC